AUUGAACGCUGGCGGCAGGCUUAACACAUGCAAGUCGAGCGGUAACAGAGAGAAGCUUGCUUCUCUGCUGACGAGCGGCGGACGGGUGAGUAAUGCCUAGGAAUCUGCCUAGUAGUGGGGGAUAACUUGCCGAAAGGUAAGCUAAUACCGCAUACGCCCUCCGGGAGAAAGGAGGGGACCUUCGGGCCUUUCGCUAUUAGAUGAGCCUAGGUCGGAUUAGUUAGUUGGUGAGGUAAUGGCUCACCAAGACCGCGAUCCGUAACUGGUCUGAGAGGAUGAUCAGUCACACUGGAACUGAGACACGGUCCAGACUCCUACGGGAGGCAGCAGUGGGGAAUAUUGGACAAUGGGGGGAACCCUGAUCCAGCCAUGCCGCGUGUGUGAAGAAGGUCUUAGGAUUGUAAAGCACUUUAAGUUGGGAAGAAGAGCAGUUAACUAAUAUUUGACUGUUUUGACGUUACCGACAGAAUAAGCACCGGCUAACUUCGUG
This 490-nucleotide ribosomal RNA is filed under the name uncultured bacterium. RNAcentral describes it as "partial 16S ribosomal RNA". It matches the Rfam family "Bacterial small subunit ribosomal RNA", at positions 30 to 507 of the family's 1533-position model. The record is from RNAcentral.